GUUGUUAUGCUCCCCGAAAAAAUUUCGGGGGAGCAUAUAGUCGCCGCCUUGUCCGUCCGUCCGUCCAUCCGUCCGUCCGUCUUUCCGUCCGUCCGUCCGUCCGUCCGUCCGUCCCCUUUUCUUGUCCGGGACAUAACUUUGAAACAACAAGAGGUAUCAACAUGAAACUUUGUAGGUAGAUAGAUCUCAUUGAGUAGAAGUGCAGUGCACAAGAACCGUAACUCUGCCUUGCCUAAUUUUUGAAUUAUUCCCCUUUGUUUAUUUUACACUUUGAACUUUGUCCGGGACAUAACUCUAAAAGUAUAAGAGGUAUCAACAUGAAACUUUGUAGGUAGAUAGAUCUCAUUGAGUAGAAGUGCAGUGCACAAGAACUGUAACUCUGCCUUACCUAAUUUUUGAAUUACCCCCCUUUGUUUAUUUUACACUUUGAACUUUGUCCGGGACAUAACUCUAAAAGUAUAAGAGAUAUUAACAUGAAACUUUGUAGGUAGAUAGAUCUCAUUGAGUAGAAGUGCAGUGCACAAGAACCGUAACUCUGCCUUGCCUAAUUUUUUAAUUAUCCCCUUUGUUUAUUUUACACUUUGAACUUUGUCCGGGACAUAACUCUAAAAGUAUAAGAGGUAUCAACAUGAAACUUUGUAGGUAGAUAGAUCUCAUUGAGUAGGUGUGCAGUGCACAAGAACCAUAACUCUGCCUUGCCUAAUUUUUGAAUUAUCCCCCUUUGUUUAUUUUACACUUCGAAAUUUGUCCAGGACAUAACUCUAAAAGUAUAAGAGAUAUCAACAUGAAACUGUGUAGGUAGAUAGAUCUCAUUGAGUAGGUGUGCAGUGCACAAGAACCGUAACUCUGCCUUGUCUAAUUUUUGAAUUAUCCCCCUUUGUUUAUUUUACACUUUGAACUUUGUCCGGGACAUAACUCUAAAAGUAUAAGA
Molecule: long non-coding RNA, 931 nt
Organism: Ruditapes philippinarum (Manila clam)
Lineage: Eukaryota; Metazoa; Mollusca; Bivalvia; Venerida; Veneridae
Exons: 2
Source: RefSeq, a predicted model, not a curated record